UAUAAAUAAUAUAUAAAAUAUAAGUAUAUUCACACUUGCAACAUAUGUUAGAUAUACAUGUAACAAUAUUUCUAUCGAAUACUCAUGAUCAUCAACUAUGUAGAUCUGUAGGGCUCAGAGAACCUAACAUUAUAUUUAAACAAUCUUUCUGUACGGACAUUUCUUGCAAAUGAUUAGCGAAUGGAAUUGAAUUCAUAAGAAACAGUAUUUUACAUAUUUUCGUUGAUAACAGGGUAUCUACAUAGUUCCCCAGCACUUAGUUCUGGUAUCCUUUUGUUGUUAGCUUUAUUCUGCAGCUAUUGCGUUCGGCCAACUAAAGCUUGCGUUGCAAAGUGGAAACUGCAUCAGCCGCAUGCGCCGAACCAAAUACAAGGAACAUAUAGUAAUCUGUGCUAUCGCGCCAUCGCCCAUGCUGCCAGUGGCCGUUGGGCGUGGCAUAUACUAAGCGAGAGUAAAAGCAAUUCGACCACAACAAGCUACAUCGGAUGACAACGGCCACACCCGCACUACCAGCCAUUAAGGCGCCCAAAAGGGUUCAACAAAGCUACCCUAUGGACUCGAAAGACUCGAUCCGGCGGUCUGCUACUGACUGCAAUAUUAGCUGGUGGGAAAUGCAGCAAAUGGAGUUUCGACAAAGUUGCUGUCGCGGCUGCCAGACACUUGGAAUUGAAUUUGUAUCAUCCAAACGCAAAGGCUGCUCUUUGUGUUUAUUUGAUCUGUUGUCAUGGUUUUGGGACUGUCAAAGCUGUCCAUCCACUUUGGCUCUAAGUCUGAGUAGAUAUUUGGUAAAAAUCCUUUUAAUUUAUUAUUUAUUUUGCAAAGGACUAGGACAAUGAGUUUGUUGUAGAUCAAAGCAGCUACUGCUUUAUAAGCUUACCCCGAAAGCUGAUUGCCCGCUUCGAAUUAAGAAAUAAUCCGGAUACCGAACAUGAGCCUCAAUAAACCAAUUGCAUAGAUAUUGCCAAUAUUCAAUAAAAAAUUAAGCUCAAUAAUAAGUCAUAUGUAUUUGAAGA
This is a non-coding RNA of Drosophila virilis, 1013 nucleotides long. Lineage: Eukaryota; Metazoa; Arthropoda; Insecta; Diptera; Drosophilidae. The record is from RefSeq and is a predicted model, not a curated record.